GAGUGGACUCCUACGGGAGGCAGCAGUGGGGAAUAUUGGACAAUGGGGGAAACCCUGAUCCAGCGACGCCGCGUGAGUGAAGAAGUAUUUCGGUAUGUAAAGCUCUAUCAGCAGGGAAGAAAAUGACGGUACCUGACUAAGAAGCCCCGGCUAACUACGUGCCAGCAGCCGCGGUAAUACGUAGGGGGCAAGCGUUAUCCGGAUUUACUGGGUGUAAAGGGAGCGCAGACGGCGAAGCAAGUCUGAAGUGAAAUGCAUGGGCUCAACCCAUGAAUUGCUUUGGAAACUGUUUGGCUUGAGUGUCGGAGGGGUAAGCGGAAUUCCUAGUGUAGCGGUGAAAUGCGUAGAUAUUAGGAGGAACACCGGAGGCGAAGGCGGCUUACUGGACGACAACUGACGUUGAGGCUCGAAGGCGUGGGGAGCAAACAGGAUUAGAAACCCCGGUAGUCC
Molecule: ribosomal RNA, 450 nt
Filed under: uncultured bacterium
Lineage: Bacteria
Description: bacterial SSU rRNA
Rfam family: Bacterial small subunit ribosomal RNA
Source: RNAcentral